RNAcentral lists this ribosomal RNA (454 nucleotides) under uncultured bacterium. RNAcentral's name for it is "partial 16S ribosomal RNA". It matches the Rfam family "Bacterial small subunit ribosomal RNA", at positions 28 to 507 of the family's 1533-position model. The record is from RNAcentral.
GAUGAACGCUGACAGAAUGCUUAACACAUGCAAGUCAACUUGAACUUCGGUUUGGGUGGCGGACGGGUGAGUAACGCGUAAAGAACUUGCCUCACAGAUAGGGACAACAUUUGGAAACGAAUGCUAAUACCUGAUAUUAUGAUUUUAGGGCAUCCUAGGUUUAUGAUAGCUAUAUGCGCUGUGAGAGAGCUUUUCGUCCCAUUAGCUAGUUGGAGAGGUAACGGCUCACCAAGGCGAUGAUGGGUAGCCGGCCUGAGAGGGUGAUCGGCCACAAGGGGACUGGGACACGGCCCUUACUCCUACGGGAGGAAGCAGUGGGAAAUAUUGGACAAUGGACCAAGAGUCUGAUACAGCAAUUCUGUGUGCAAGAUGAAGUUUUUCGGAAUGUAAAGUGCUUUCAGUUGGGAAGAAAAAAAUGACGGUACCAACAGAAGAAGUGACGGCUAAAUACGUG